Molecule: long non-coding RNA, 425 nt
Filed under: Nicotiana benthamiana
Lineage: Eukaryota; Viridiplantae; Streptophyta; Magnoliopsida; Solanales; Solanaceae
Description: long non-coding RNA (NBEN_LNC024908)
Source: RNAcentral
AUGAUCGAGGUUGUCUUUUCGGAAGAGGUGGGUGGGAGUGGGGCAAGGCAAGAAAGUAACAAUCAUACCCGAUAUUCAGAGCGCCGGAGAUAGAAGCGGCGGCAGCCAUAAAGUGGAGAAUUUCCAUCCAUUUGCUGUCUCCUUCGCUACCGCUCCGUGGGGUCAACAUUACGAAAUUAGCCAGGUUCAGUUCUGACUAUAGCUGCAACCUAUCUCAUAUUUGGCCGCCCUCGAUCACAAACUAGAAAUUUGAAGGUGGGAGUGGGGAAAGGCAUUAAAGUAACAAUCAUACCCAAUAUUCAGAGCACCAGAGAUGGAAGCGGCGACAGCCAUAAAGUGGAGAAUUUCCAUCCAUUUGCUGUCUCCUUCGCUACCACUCUGUAGGGUAAACAUUCCGAAAUUAGCCAGGUUCAGUUCUGACUAUA